UACGUAGGAGGCGAGCGUUGUCCGGAAUCAUUGGGCGUAAAGAGCGCGCAGGCGGCCCGGCAAGUCGGGUGUGAAAUCCCGGGGCUCAACCCCGGGACUGCAUUCGAUACUGCCGGGCUAGAGGUAGGUAGGGGAGAUCGGAAUUCCUGGUGUAGCGGUGAAAUGCGCAGAUAUCAGGAGGAACACCGGUGGCGAAGGCGGAUCUCUGGGCCUUACCUGACGCUCAGGCGCGAAAGCUAGGGGAGCGAACAGG
RNAcentral lists this ribosomal RNA (253 nucleotides) under uncultured bacterium. RNAcentral's name for it is "partial 16S ribosomal RNA". It matches the Rfam family "Bacterial small subunit ribosomal RNA", at positions 524 to 776 of the family's 1533-position model. The record is from RNAcentral.